GUCUUUCUAGUAUUAACAUUAGUAUAAGUGACUUCCAAUCACCCGGUCUUGGUUAAAAUCCAAGGAAAGACA
RNAcentral lists this transfer RNA (72 nucleotides) under Apolemichthys kingi (tiger angelfish). RNAcentral describes it as "tRNA-Gly". It matches the Rfam family "tRNA". From Rfam's summary of the family: Transfer RNA (tRNA) molecules are approximately 80 nucleotides in length. Their secondary structure includes four short double-helical elements and three loops (D, anti-codon, and T loops). Lineage: Eukaryota; Metazoa; Chordata; Actinopteri; Pomacanthidae. The record is from RNAcentral.